This 441-nucleotide ribosomal RNA is filed under the name uncultured bacterium. Its description in RNAcentral is "SSU rRNA". It matches the Rfam family "Bacterial small subunit ribosomal RNA", at positions 26 to 518 of the family's 1533-position model. The record is from RNAcentral.
AGAACGAACGCUGGCGGCAGGCUUAACACAUGCAAGUCGAGCGCCCAGCAAUGGGAGCGGCGGACGGGUGCGUAACACGUGGGAACAUGCCUUUCGGUACGGAACAACUGCGGGAAACUGCAGCUAAUGCCGUAUACGCCCUUACGGGGAAAGAUUUAUCGCCGAAAGAUUGGCCCGCGUCUGAUUAGCUAGUUGGUGAGGUAACGGCUCACCAAGGCUUCGAUCAGUAGCUGGUUUGAGAGAACGACCAGCCACACUGGGACUGAGACACGGCCCAGACUCCUACGGGAGGCAGCAGUGGGGAAUCUUGGACAAUGGGCGAAAGCCUGAUCCAGCCAUGCCGCGUGAGUGAUGAAGGCCUUCGGGUUGUAAAACUCUUUUACCUGGAAGAUAAUGACUGUACCAGGAGAAUAAGCCCGCUAACUUCGCGCCAGCAGCCGC